CUGAAGCAAGGAACAGGAACUACUUACUACUCAUAAGGUAGCCUUAUGUAACCCCUAUUCAAGUAGACUGUUGCUGUACUGUCACGUUUUUGUCUGUUACCAUACCAGAGCAAACAGCGGUAUAGUGGUAUGUGGCCACCUGGAGCUAAAGGUAUUUUAUGGACAUGUACUUAAGAGAGGGGCUUUUGCCUUUCUUUUCUUUAAUUCAGAGUUCAAGAGUGACAUUAAGAGGUUAAAUGGGUAAAUGGGAUAGUUUAAUAGAUUUGACAGCUAUAUUACAUGUAUAUAUAAUUCUUCAGUGAGGUUUACUUAUUUGAAAGUAAAGAAAUCUGGGCUGUUAUAUUACAAAGGUUUUCCUCUCUUCUUUCCUCUAUUCGUCCCACUCUCCUCCCUAUAUUCCUCCCACCCUUUAUACGUUCUAGUACUUUUGGCAUGUCUGAUGUCUCACAGCUCUCAUUUGUAUGCUCCCUCCACUCUACUAGAUUAAUAGAACAUAGCAUCGAUCACAAAAACACUUGGGAUGGACUUCGAGUCUUCGUCACUAUUCUACUAGAUACCUAUUGCAAAUUCUUCUUGCAAUGGUUCUUUGAACUUUAUGAAACAGCAGGACACUCUGUACUGGCCUAUUAUUUCUACCACAAAGGCGACAGAGCUUCUCCGACAAUCAUUCAUGUGUCAUUUUGAGUGCUAUAUACAUAUAUUUUGUUAGCAAAAAAGUGGCAUGCUAAAUUAUAUUUUGUUACAAUGUACUACCUUUGAUCUUUA
This is a long non-coding RNA of Amphimedon queenslandica, 765 nucleotides long. RefSeq lists it as uncharacterized. The record is from RefSeq and is a predicted model, not a curated record. The transcript has 3 exons. NCBI's taxonomy places the organism in Eukaryota, Metazoa, Porifera, Demospongiae, Haplosclerida, Niphatidae.